UGCCUCAGAGCUCAAGGUCACGGUUGUCACACAGGCUCCCCUGCCUCUGAAGUCAAGGUCACAGUCGUCACACAGGCUCCCCUGCCUCAGAGCUCAAGGUCACGGUUGUCACACAUGAUCCCCUGCCUCUGAAGUCAAGGUCACGGUUGUCACACAUGAUCCCCUGCCUCUGAAGUCAAGGUCACGGGCGUCACACAGGCACCCCUGCCUCUGAAGUCAAGGUCACGGGCGUCACACAGGCUCCCCUGCCUCUGAACUCAAGGUCACGGGCGUCACACAGGCUCCACUGCCUCUGAACUCAAGGUCACGGGCAUCACACAUGAUCCCCUGCCUCUGAACUCAAGGUCACGGGCGUCACACAUGAUCCCCUGCCUCUGAAGUCAAGGUCAUGGGCGUCACACAGGCUCCCCUGCCUCUGAACUCAAGGUCACGGGCGUCACACAGGCUCCACUGCCUCUGAAGUCAAGGUCACGGGCGUCACACAGGCACCCCUGCCUCUGAAGUCAAGGUCACGGGCGUCACACAGGCUCCCCUGCCUCUGAAGUCAAGGUCACGGUCGUCACACAGGCUCCCCUGCCUCUGAACUCAAGGUCACGGGCGUCACACAGGCUCCACUGCCUCUGAACUCAAGGUCACGGGCAUCACACAUGAUCCCCUGCCUCUGAACUCAAGGUCACGGGCGUCACACAUGAUCCCCUGCCUCUGAAGUCAAGGUCACGGGCGUCACACAGGCUCCCCUGCCUCUGAACUCAAGGUCACGGGCGUCACACAGGCUCCACUGCCUCUGAACUCAAGGUCACGGGCAUCACACAUGAUCCCCUGCCUCUGAACUCAAGGUCACGGGCGUCACACAUGAUCCCCUGCCUCUGAAGUCAAGGUCACGGGCGUCACACAGUCUCCCCUGCCUCUGAAGUCAAGGUCAUGGUUGUCACACAUGAUCCCCUGCCUCUGAAGUCAAGGUCACUGUCAU
Leopardus geoffroyi (Geoffroy's cat) is the source of this 970-nucleotide long non-coding RNA. RefSeq lists it as uncharacterized. The record is from RefSeq and is a predicted model, not a curated record. NCBI's taxonomy places the organism in Eukaryota, Metazoa, Chordata, Mammalia, Carnivora, Felidae. The transcript has 3 exons.